UGCGGACUUAGCCUUGAAGUGUGGGUAGAAUUUGGAAAGACUUUUCCAAGAGUGGCCUAGAAAAUAAGCAAAGUUGUAUUACCUGGGAAAAUAUUUCAAUAAGAUUCAGGUCACUUGCUUAAGAACACCAUUUCCCAGAAGACAACAGUGGGGAGUUUACCAUUCAAAGACCUGCUUUGGAGAUGUAGAUUACUGUACCCUUUGAUUUUCAGAAGAUGCAGUUAGUAUUUCUCUUUUUCAACAAAUACUGUUUUCUUACUAAACCAUAUUUCCUGUUCCCAGAGUAAUUUUAUGCUGAUUGAAGAAAAGAAGUAAACAGAGUUCCAGAAAGCAACUGCAAAUACUCAUUUUGGAAAAGAAAACAAAACAAAAACAAGGGAGACAUUUUAAAAGGUGCUAAAGCAACAGGACCAGUUGCCAGAGAGCUUAUUUUACCUCCCCAAAACAAGGUUGGUGUUUCAUCCUUGAGUUUAGUACACAGGAUUGUUCUUAUUCUUCUGCAGAUAGAGAGGUGCACUGCUUUAUGCUGCAAGUUGUCUAUAAGACGAGUUUUUGCUAGCAGCCUGUACGCUCUGGGCAACACUGCCAGAUUCCUGAGUAAAGGUACCAACCUCAGAAGCUAUCAACUACAAAUGACAGAACCCAUGAUGUAUGUCAGGACUUCAGUGCCCAGAGGGGCCAGUAGGCUGCAUACCCAGUUACAGAGGGCCAGGACUAUUAACAGCUGGACUUCGACCAAGGAACACACAGGGGAGAGAGCCUUUCUUUGA
Molecule: long non-coding RNA, 770 nt
Organism: Pan paniscus (pygmy chimpanzee)
Lineage: Eukaryota; Metazoa; Chordata; Mammalia; Primates; Hominidae
Source: Ensembl